This 426-nucleotide ribosomal RNA is filed under the name uncultured bacterium. Its description in RNAcentral is "partial 16S ribosomal RNA". It matches the Rfam family "Bacterial small subunit ribosomal RNA", at positions 354 to 796 of the family's 1533-position model. The record is from RNAcentral.
GUGAGGAAUUUUCCGCAAUAGGCGAAAGCCUGACGGAGCAAUGCCGCGUGAAGGAUGAAGGCCUAUGGGUUGUAAACUUCUUUUCUCAGAAAAGAAUUAUGACGGUAUCUGAGGAAUAAGCAUCGGCUAACUCUGUGCCAGCAGCCGCGGUAAGACAGAGGAUGCAAGCGUUAUCCGGAAUGAUUGGGCGUAAAGCGUCUGUAGGUUGUUUAAAAAGUAUUCUGUCAAAGAUUAGGGCUUAACCCUAGAUAGGCAGAAUAAACUUUUAAGCUAGAGUUUGGUAGAGGCAGAGGGAAUUCCCGGUGGAGCGGUGAAAUGCGUAGAUAUCGGGAGGAACACCAAAGGCGAAGGCACUCUGCUGGGCCAAUACUAACACUGAGAGACGAAAGCGAGGGGAGCAAAUGGGAUUAGAAACCCCAGUAGUCC